CAUAUUUUAUUAACAGUGAGUCACAUUCACAAAUCACAGCAAUCACAGAAUGUAAUGACCUGCAAUAAGAGCAGCGGUGGAGCCAGUCCAAGUCUGCUUGAGUUUUGUCACCAGUUGAGGGUCUCAAGGUGUUAAAAAUAAAAGUGAUGUUAAAGGAGGAGCACACAAGCUGAGAGGAGAAGAAAAAGAAGAAAGAGGAGAAUUUAGGGGUGAAUGGACGGGGGGCUCCGUCACAGACAGGG
This is a long non-coding RNA of Erpetoichthys calabaricus (reedfish), 242 nucleotides long. RefSeq lists it as uncharacterized. The transcript is spliced from 3 exons. Lineage: Eukaryota; Metazoa; Chordata; Cladistia; Polypteriformes; Polypteridae. The record is from RefSeq and is a predicted model, not a curated record.